ACAUACGACCAUAGGGUGUGGAAAACAGGGCUUCCCGUCCGCUCAGCCGUACUUAAGCCACACGCCGGCCGGUUAGUAGUUGGGUGGGUGACCACCAGCGAAUCCCGGCUGUUGUAUGUG
Aspergillus fumigatus Af293 is the source of this 120-nucleotide ribosomal RNA. Lineage: Eukaryota; Fungi; Ascomycota; Eurotiomycetes; Eurotiales; Aspergillaceae. The record is from Rfam.